AGCCACAGCCAUAUCACCCUGCAGCCCAAGACUGGUUGUCCACUGAAGCUAAGCAGGGUUGAGCCUGGUCAGUACCUGGAUGGGAGACCUCCUGGGAAAACUAGGUUGCUGUUC
This 114-nucleotide ribosomal RNA is filed under the name Sinocyclocheilus rhinocerous. The record is from RNAcentral. Lineage: Eukaryota; Metazoa; Chordata; Actinopteri; Cypriniformes; Cyprinidae.